RNAcentral lists this ribosomal RNA (325 nucleotides) under uncultured bacterium. RNAcentral's name for it is "bacterial SSU rRNA". It matches the Rfam family "Bacterial small subunit ribosomal RNA", at positions 28 to 337 of the family's 1533-position model. The record is from RNAcentral.
GACGAACGCUGGCGGCGUGCCUAACACAUGCAAGUCAGGGAUUAGAAUGAAGGGUAGCAAUACUUUUUAUUCAGUACCGGCGCACGGGUGAGUAACACGUAGGUAAUCUACCCUCAGGCGGGGAACAACAUCGAGAAAUCGGUGCUAAUACCGCAUGACGCAACGAGACCACAUGAUCUUGUUGUUAAAGAUCCGCAAGGAUCACCCGAGGAUGAACCUGCGCCCGAUUAGCCUAGUUGGCGGAGUAAUAGCCCACCAAGGCAACGAUCGGUAGCCGACCUGAGAGGGUGAUCGGCCACACUGGAACUGAGACACGGUCCAGACU